Molecule: ribosomal RNA, 497 nt
Filed under: uncultured bacterium
Lineage: Bacteria
Description: partial 16S ribosomal RNA
Rfam family: Bacterial small subunit ribosomal RNA
Source: RNAcentral
GACGAACGCUGGCGGCGUGCCUAAUACAUGCAAGUAGAACGCUGAAGAGAGGAGCUUGCUCUUCUUGGAUGAGUUGCGAACGGGUGAGUAACGCGUAGGUAACCUGCCUUGUAGCGGGGGAUAACUAUUGGAAACGAUAGCUAAUACCGCAUAACAAUGGAUGACCCAUGUCAUUUAUUUGAAAGGGGCAAAUGCUCCACUACAAGAUGGACCUGCGUUGUAUUAGCUAGUAGGUGAGGUAACGGCUCACCUAGGCGACGAUACAUAGCCGACCUGAGUGGGUGAUCGGCCACACUGGGACUGAGACACGGCCCAGACUCCUACGGGAGGCAGCAGUAGGGAAUCUUCGGCAAUGGGGGCAACCCUGACCGAGCAACGCCGCGUGAGUGAAGAAGGUUUUCGGAUCGUAAAGCUCUGUUGUAAGUCAAGAACGAGUGUGAGAGUGGAAAGUUCACACUGUGACGGUAGCUUACCAGAAAGGGACGGCUAACUACGUG